This 1842-nucleotide ribosomal RNA is filed under the name Pulchrocladia retipora. Its description in RNAcentral is "SSU rRNA". It matches the Rfam family "Eukaryotic small subunit ribosomal RNA". Lineage: Eukaryota; Fungi; Ascomycota; Lecanoromycetes; Lecanorales; Cladoniaceae. The record is from RNAcentral.
UAGCAAUCUAUACGGUGAAACUGCGAAUGGCUCAUUAAAUCAGUUAUCGUUUAUUUGAUAGUACCUUACUACUUGGAUACCUGUGGUAAUUCUAGAGCUAAUACAUGCUAAAAACCUCGACUUCGGAAGGGGUGUAUUUAUUAGAUAAAAAACCAAUGCCCUCCGGGGCUCCUUGGUGAUUCAUAAUAACUCAACGAAUCGCAUGGCCUUGCGCCGGCGAUGGUUCAUUCAAAUUUCUGCCCUAUCAACUUUCGAUGGUAGUAUAGAGGACUACCAUGGUUUCUACGGGUAACGGGGAAUUAGGGUUCUAUUCCGGAGAGGGAGCCUGAGAAACGGCUACCACAUCCAAGGAAGGCAGCAGGCGCGCAAAUUACCCAAUCCCGACACGGGGAGGUAGUGACAAUAAAUACUGAUCCAGGGCUCUUUUGGGUCUUGGAAUUGGAAUGAGUACAAUUUAAAUCCCUUAACGAGGAACAAUUGGAGGGCAAGUCUGGUGCCAGCAGCCGCGGUAAUUCCAGCUCCAAUAGCGUAUAUUAAAGUUGUUGCAGUUAAAAAGCUCGUAGUUGAAACUUGGGUCUGGCUGACCGGUCCGCCUCACCGCGUGCACUGGCUUGGCCGGACCUUUCCUUCUGGGAAACCGCAUGGCCUUCAUUGGUCGUGUUGGGGAUCCAGGACUUUUACUUUGAAAAAAUUAGAGUGUUCAAAGCAGGCCUAUGCUCGAAUACAUUAGCAUGGAAUAAUAGAAUAGGACGUGUGGUUCUAUUUUGUUGGUUUCUAGGACCGCCGUAAUGAUUAAUAGGGACGAUGCGUACCCAAACUUAGAUCUGGUCGUAACACCGUUUACCCGAAGAAGAGAUUGAGCAACAGUGAACUCCCUAUAGAGCAGUGGCUAUCCUUAUGUGGCUCCUAGUAGUCAGCAAGGGGCAAUGCGCACCAAACAGUGGGCUAGACUGAAGUGGAGAUACUGGAAUAUACGUGCUCAGCGCAAGCGAGUGCUUAGCACUAGAGCUCCUCUGAAGCCUAAGAGGAUCUAGAGUGUCGACACACUCAAGGUUGGAACGCAGUUGGUAAGAUUUCAAGUAUAAAAAUGUUCCAGAGGAGCGAGAGCGGGGAUGCUUGGCAGGCAUUCGUCCUGUGUCCUUUGCUUCGUUCGCACCUUCGUUCGCACUAUCAACUGCUCCUUUGCACUUUGCUGUGCAACGUCUGAGCGACGUGCUCGCUCAGCGCCUUCCCCACGCGGAGCUCCGCGAUUCCCGAAGCCAACAUGUCCAACAUUGGAGGGAAUGAACAACUUGAAACCUGAUAAAAAUGCGUAGAAUAAUGCCAGACACAAUAAGGAUUGACAGAUUGAGAGCUCUUUCUUGAUUUUGUGGGUGGUGGUGCAUGGCCGUUCUUAGUUGGUGGAGUGAUUUGUCUGCUUAAUUGCGAUAACGAACGAGACCUUAACCUGCUAAAUAGCCAGGUCAGCUUUGGCUGGCCGCCGGCUUCUUAGAGGGACUAUCGGCUCAAGCCGAUGGAAGUUUGAGGCAAUAACAGGUCUGUGAUGCCCUUAGAUGCUCUGGGCCGCACGCGCGCUACACUGACAGAGACAACGAGUUCAUCACCUUGGCCGGAAGGUCUGGGUAAUCUUGUUAAACUCUGUCGUGCUGGGGAUAGAGCAUUGCAAUUAUUGCUCUUCAACGAGGAAUGCCUAGUAAGCGCAAGUCAUCAGCUUGCGUUGAUUACGUCCCUGCCCUUUGUACACACCGCCCGUCGCUACUACCGAUUGAAUGGCUCAGUGAGGCCUUCGGACUGGCCCAGAGAGGUCGGCAACGACCACUCCGGGCCGGAAAGUUCGUCAAA